GAUGAACGCUGGCGGCGUGCCUAACACAUGCAAGUCGAGCGAUUUACUUCGGUAAAGAGCGGCGGACGGGUGAGUAACGCGUGGGUAACCUGCCCUGUACACACGGAUAACAUACCGAAAGGUAUGCUAAUACGAGAUAAUAUGCUUUUAUCGCAUGGUAGAAGUAUCAAAGCUUUUGCGGUACAGGAUGGACCCGCGUCUGAUUAGCUAGUUGGUGAGGUAACGGCUCACCAAGGCGACGAUCAGUAGCCGACCUGAGAGGGUGAUCGGCCACAUUGGAACUGAGACACGGUCCAAACUCAUACGGGAGGCAGCAGUGGGGAAUAUUGCACAACGGGCGAAAGCCUGAUGCAGCAACGCCGCGUGAGCGAUGAAGGCCUUCGGGGCGUAAAGCUCUGUCCUCAAGGAAGAUAAUGACGGUACUUGAGGAGGAAGCCCCGGCUAACUACGUG
Molecule: ribosomal RNA, 452 nt
Filed under: uncultured bacterium
Lineage: Bacteria
Description: partial 16S ribosomal RNA
Rfam family: Bacterial small subunit ribosomal RNA
Source: RNAcentral